Molecule: transfer RNA, 88 nt
Filed under: Caldibacillus debilis GB1
Lineage: Bacteria; Bacillati; Bacillota; Bacilli; Caryophanales; Bacillaceae
Rfam family: tRNA
About the family: Transfer RNA (tRNA) molecules are approximately 80 nucleotides in length.
Source: Rfam by way of RNAcentral
GGAAGGCUGGCAGAGAGGUUGAAUGCGUCGGUUUCGAAAACCGAAGAGGGGCAACACUCCUCCGGGGGUUCGAAUCCCCCGCCUUCCG